GACGAACGCUGGCGGUAUGCUUAACACAUGCAAGUCGAACGGGAUCUUCGGAUCCAGUGGCGCACGGGUGAGUAAUGUACAGGAAUCUGCCUCUAGGUGGGGGAUAGCUCGGUGAAAACUGAAUUAAUCCCGCAUAAUGCCUUCGGGUGAAAGUCGCAAGACGCCAAGAGAUGAGCCUGUAUCUGAUUAGCUAGUUGGUAGGGUAAAGGCCUACCAAGGCGACGAUCAGUAGCUGGUUUGAGAAGAUGAUCAGCCACAGUGGAACUGAGACACGGUCCACACUCCUACGGGAGGCAGCAGUGGGGAAUAUUCCGCAAUGGGCGAAAGCCUGACGGAGCAAUACCGCGUGUAGGAUGAAGGCUUUAGGGUCGUAAACUACUGUCGACGGGGAAGAAAAAAUGACGGUACCCCGUAAAGGAAG
RNAcentral lists this ribosomal RNA (421 nucleotides) under uncultured bacterium. RNAcentral's name for it is "bacterial SSU rRNA". It matches the Rfam family "Bacterial small subunit ribosomal RNA", at positions 28 to 490 of the family's 1533-position model. The record is from RNAcentral.